Molecule: ribosomal RNA, 506 nt
Filed under: uncultured bacterium
Lineage: Bacteria
Description: partial 16S ribosomal RNA
Rfam family: Bacterial small subunit ribosomal RNA
Source: RNAcentral
GAUGAACGCUAGCUACAGGCUUAACACAUGCAAGUCGAGGGGUAACAAGAGAAAAGCUUGCUUUUCUUGUUGACAACCGGCGCACGGGUGAGUAACGCGUAUCCAACCUGCCUAUAACUAGGGAAUAACCUUGCGAAAGUAAGACUAAUACCCUAUGAUUUCCUUUGAUGACAUCAGAUUAGGAAUAAAGAUUUAUCGGUUAUAGAUGGGGAUACGUCUGAUUAGCUUGUUGGCGGGGUAACGGCCCACCAAGGCAACGAUCAGUAGGGGUUCUGAGAGGAAGGUCCCCCACAUUGGAACUGAGACACGGUCCAAACUCCUACGGGAGGCAGCAGUGAGGAAUAUUGGUCAAUGGGCGGAAGCUUGAACCAGCCAAGUAGCGUGCAGGAUGACGGCCCUAUGGGUUGUAAACUGCUUUUAUACAGGAAUAAAGUUAGCCACGUGUGGUUAUUUGUAGGUACUGUAUGAAUAAGGACCGGCUAAUUCCGUGCCAGCCGCCGCUGUAA